GGGAAUUGUUCGCAAUGGGCGCAAGCCUGACGACGCAACGCCGCGUGGAGGAUGAAGACUUUCGGGUCGUAAACUCCUUUCGACCGGGAUGAAUUCUCAUCGACCUAACACGUCGAUGGGGUGACGGUACCUGGUGAAUAAGCCCCGGCUAACUACGUGCCAGCAGCCGCGGUAAGACGUAGGGGGCGAGCGUUGUCCGGAAUCACUGGGCGUAAAGGGCGCGUAGGUGGUCUGAUAAGGGUGUGGUGAAAGCCCGGGGCUCAACCCCGGGUCGGCCGUGCCGACUGUUGGACUAGAGUGCUGUAGGGGCAGGCGGAAUUCCGGGUGUAGCGGUGGAAUGCGUAGAGAUCCGGAGGAAGACCGGUGGCGAAGGCGGCCUGCUGGGCAGAUACUGACACUGAGGCGCGACAGCGUGGGGAGCAA
Molecule: ribosomal RNA, 423 nt
Filed under: uncultured bacterium
Lineage: Bacteria
Description: bacterial SSU rRNA
Rfam family: Bacterial small subunit ribosomal RNA
Source: RNAcentral